This 387-nucleotide unclassified non-coding RNA is filed under the name Campylobacter coli RM2228. RNAcentral's name for it is "sRNA". The record is from RNAcentral. Lineage: Bacteria; Pseudomonadati; Campylobacterota; Epsilonproteobacteria; Campylobacterales; Campylobacteraceae.
UUUCUGGUUUGUAAGAAAUCUUUAUGUUUAAAUAUAUUCUUUAUGGCUACUUCUAACAUAUCAACCUCUAUAUUUUUCAAAAUAAAAUGUGCUUAUUCUCGCAUCUCUUUCACUUGGAGAAAACCAAUAAAUUGCAGGUUUAUCUGAAAAUAUACUGUAUUUAUAAGGUUUAACUCCGACACAAUCUGUAUAAUUAUUACUAAUUAUGCAUUUUUUAUCAUACGCCCAAAACAUAACAACAUUUUCAAAUUUAAAAUAUUCAUUAGAAUAUAUGAGUUUAAAAAUGCUUUCUGUAUGUUGAUUUUUUAUUUCUUUAGAAUUAUUUUUAUCAAUAUAAAAAUGUCUAAAUUCGUGAAAAAAAGUUGAUAAUAUCUGUUCUUCUUUGUU